CAUGCACGGGAUGUGCGUACAACGCGCACGUCCCCUCCACGUGCACGGCGCGAGGUCAGGACUUGUAUGCGUCUUGUCGCACGCAAGUGAGCCGUCCGCGCGUCACCUCGCGCGAGGAUAGGCAUCGUAAACUAUGCGCGCGUCAUCCAUGUAGCAGGUCUACGUGGAUAGACCCUGUGCGCCUGGGGCUUGUGUGCGGCGCCCAGCGCGCCUAAACCCUACGCGUGCAGCAGGACGCCUGUGCGCCUGCAGGCUAGCCUGCAACGCACCGGCUAGAGCACUGCAACCUUAGGUAGUGCGCCACCGCUACCUUAGGCGAUGCACCGCCGCCGCCGGUGGAGGAGGCCCUCC
This 351-nucleotide long non-coding RNA is filed under the name Carica papaya (papaya). RNAcentral's name for it is "long non-coding RNA (CPAP_LNC004701)". The record is from RNAcentral. Lineage: Eukaryota; Viridiplantae; Streptophyta; Magnoliopsida; Brassicales; Caricaceae.